RNAcentral lists this ribosomal RNA (599 nucleotides) under Pichia barkeri. Its description in RNAcentral is "eukaryotic LSU rRNA". It matches the Rfam family "Eukaryotic large subunit ribosomal RNA", at positions 64 to 664 of the family's 3401-position model. The record is from RNAcentral. Lineage: Eukaryota; Fungi; Ascomycota; Pichiomycetes; Pichiales; Pichiaceae.
ACCUCGGGCCAUUGCAUCAGUAGCGGCGAGUGAAGCGGCAAGAGCUCAGAUUUGAAAUCUCAUCAUUCGUGGUGCGAGUUGUAAAUUGCAGGUUGGAGUCUCGGUUUAGACGUGUGUGCAAGUCCCUUGGAACAGGGCGCCACUGAGGGUGAGAGCCCCGUAGUGUGCACGAUCGACGCUGUGAGGCCCUUCUGACGAGUCGAGUUGUUUGGGAAUGCAGCUCUAAGUGGGUGGUAAAUUCCAUCUAAGGCUAAAUAUUGGCGAGAGACCGAUAGCGAACAAGUACUGUGAAGGAAAGAUGAAAAGCACUUUGAAAAGAGAGUGAAACAGCACGUGAAAUUGUUGAAAGGGAAGGGUAUUGGGCUCGACAUGGGAUUUACGCAUCGUUGCCUCUCGUGGGCGGCGCUCUGGGUUUUUCCUGGGCCAGCAUCGGUUUUUGUUGCAGGAUAAGGACCUUUGGAAUGUGGCUCCCUCGGGAGUGUUAUAGCCAUUGGUAGAUGCUGCAUAUGGGGACCGAGGGCUGCGGCGGACUUGUUUUGUCUCGGAUGCUGGCACAACGGCGCAAUACCGCCCGUCUGAACCAAGGAACAAUUUUGUUG